AGAGUUUGAUCCUGGCUCAGAACGAACGCUGGCGGCGCGUCUUAAGCAUGCAAGUCGGGCGGCAGCCGCAGCGAUGCGGCGAGAGCGGCGGACGGGUGAGUAACGCGUGGACAACCGACCCUCCGGACGGGGAUAGCCGCGGGAAACUGCGGAUAAUACCGGAUACGACCCGGGGAGCGAAGGCGCUCCGGGGGAAAGCCGCUGCGGCGGCGCCGGGGGACGGGUCUGCGUCCCAUCAGCUAGACGGCGGGGUGAAGGCCCACCGUGGCGACGACGGGUAGCCGGCCUGAGAGGGUGGACGGCCACAUUGGGACUGAGAACGGCCCAGACUCCUACGGGAGGCAGCAGCUAAGGAUCUUCCGCAAUGGGCGAAAGCCUGACGGAGCGACGCCGCGUGGACGAUGGAGGCCGUGAGGUUGUAAAGUCCUUUUCCGUGGGGUGAAGAGCCGUGCCAGGGAAUGGGUGCGGGGUGACGUGACCACGGGAAUAAGCCCCGGCUAACUACGUGCCAGCCGCCGCGGUAAUUC
Molecule: ribosomal RNA, 527 nt
Filed under: uncultured bacterium
Lineage: Bacteria
Description: bacterial SSU rRNA
Rfam family: Bacterial small subunit ribosomal RNA
Source: RNAcentral